CAGUAGCCGGGUAAUACAGAGGGUGCGAGCGUUAAUCGGAUUUACUGGGCGUAAAGCGUGCGUAGGCGGCUAAUUGAGUCGGAUGUGAAAUCCCCGAGCUUAACUUGGGAAUUGCAUUCGAUACUGGUUAGCUAGAGUGUGGGAGAGGAUGGUAGAAUUCCAGGUGUAGCGGUGAAAUGCGUAGAGAUCUGGAGGAAUACCGAUGGCGAAGGCAGCCAUCUGGCCUAACACUGACGCUGAGGUACGAAAGCAUGGGGAGCAAACAGGAUUAGAUACCCCCGUAGUCCCUGUCUCUUAUACA
Molecule: ribosomal RNA, 301 nt
Filed under: uncultured bacterium
Lineage: Bacteria
Description: partial 16S ribosomal RNA
Rfam family: Bacterial small subunit ribosomal RNA
Source: RNAcentral